Molecule: long non-coding RNA, 263 nt
Filed under: Carica papaya (papaya)
Lineage: Eukaryota; Viridiplantae; Streptophyta; Magnoliopsida; Brassicales; Caricaceae
Description: long non-coding RNA (CPAP_LNC007482)
Source: RNAcentral
AACAAAAAGUUGUACUUGCCACCUAUAUUCUUGUGGGAGAGACAAACCGCUGAUGGUAGCUCAAGUAGAUCAUCCUGCCCAUUUCAGUCACUUGAAAAUAAUUUCUGAUUGCCUUCAAUAUAGAAUACCUCCCAAAGCACCUCUGACAUUUGAAAGAAAUGUAAUUUGCACACCUAGUCCAUGAUGAUAUGACUACGUCAGAGUAUGUCCGAAGGUUUCUAGAGUUGGACCGGUAUUCCCCUGAGAGCAUGAUGGAUGAAGGU